UGCUUUCUUGGUCAUGAUGUUUG
Molecule: unclassified non-coding RNA, 23 nt
Filed under: Mus musculus (house mouse)
Lineage: Eukaryota; Metazoa; Chordata; Mammalia; Rodentia; Muridae
Description: oocyte_clustered_small_RNA11753
Source: RNAcentral